This 2176-nucleotide ribosomal RNA is filed under the name Loigolactobacillus coryniformis subsp. torquens DSM 20004 = KCTC 3535. RNAcentral's name for it is "bacterial LSU rRNA". It matches the Rfam family "Bacterial large subunit ribosomal RNA", at positions 14 to 2192 of the family's 2925-position model. Lineage: Bacteria; Bacillati; Bacillota; Bacilli; Lactobacillales; Lactobacillaceae. The record is from RNAcentral.
AGGGCGCACGGUGGAUGCCUUGGCACUAGGAGCCGAUGAAGGACGGUACUAACACCGAUAUGCUUCGGGGAGCUGUACGUAAGCUUUGAUCCGGAGAUUUCCGAAUGGGGGAACCCAGCCAACUUAGUCGUUGGUUACUCAUAAGUGAAUACAUAGCUUAUGAGAGGUAAACGUGGGGAACUGAAACAUCUCAGUACCUGCAGGAACAGAAAGAAAAUUCGAUUCCCUAAGUAGCGGCGAGCGAACGGGGAACAGCCCAAACCAUGAUGCUUGCAUUAUGGGGUUGUAGGACUGAACUUUGGAGUUACCAAAGUCGUUGAUAACUGAGUCAGUUGGAAUACUGAACAAAACAGGGUGAAAGUCCCGUAAGUCAAAUCAACGGCUCUUCGUUCAGGAUCCUGAGUACGGCGGAACACGUGAAAUUCCGUCGGAAUCUGGGAGGACCAUCUCCCAAGGCUAAAUACUACCUAGUGACCGAUAGUGGACCAGUACCGUGAGGGAAAGGUGAAAAGAACCCCGGAAGGGGAGUGAAACAGUUCCUGAAACCGUGUGCCUACAAUUAGUUAGAGCCCGUUAAUGGGUGAUAGCGUGCCUUUUGUAGAAUGAACCGGCGAGUUACGUUUGCAUGCGAGGUUAAGCUGAUAAGGCGGAGCCAUAGCGAAAGCGAGUCUGAAUAGGGCGUUUAGUAUGUAGACGUAGACCCGAAACCAAGUGACCUACCCAUGUCCAGGUUGAAGGUGUGGUAAAACACACUGGAGGACCGAACCCGUGUAUGUUGAAAAAUGCUGGGAUGAGGUGUGGGUAGCGGUGAAAUUCCAAACGAACUUGGAGAUAGCUGGUUCUCUUCGAAAUAGCUUUAGGGCUAGCCUCGGAAUUGACCAUCAUGGAGGUAGAGCACUGUUUGGACUAGGGGCCCGUCUUGGGUUACUGAAUUCAGAUAAACUCCGAAUGCCAUUGAUGAAUUAUCCGGGAGUCAGACAGUGAGUGAUAAGAUCCAUUGUCGAAAGGGAAACAGCCCAGACCACCAGUUAAGGUCCCCAAAUUUAUGUUAAGUGGAAAAGGAUGUGGGGUUGCAUAGACAACUAGGAUGUUGGCUCAGAAGCAGCCACCAUUUAAAGAGUGCGUAAUAGCUCACUAGUCGAGUGACCCUGCGCCGAAAAUGUACCGGGGCUAAACAUAAUACCGAAACUGUGGAUGACCACUUAUGUGGUCAUGGUAGGAGAGCGUUCUAAGGGCGUUGAAGGUUGAUCGUGAGGACAACUGGAGCGCUUAGAAGUGAGAAUGCCGGUAUGAGUAGCGAAAGACAGGUGAGAAUCCUGUCCACCGUAUGACUAAGGUUUCCUGGGGAAGGCUCGUCCUCCCAGGGUUAGUCGGGACCUAAGCUGAGGCCGCAAGGCGUAAGCGAUGGCCAACAGGUUGAGAUUCCUGUACUAGUUUAUUUUGUUUGAACGAUGGAGGGACGCAGGAGGCUAAAGGAUCCGCACGAUUGGAAAUGUGCGGCCAAGCAAUAAGUCUUGGUGUGAGUCAAAUGCUUGCACCUGUACGGACAAGUUGUGAUGGGGAGCGAAUUUAAGUAGCGAAGUCCUUGAUGUCACACUGCCGAGAAAAGCUUCUAGUGAGAAAUAAACUACCCGUACCGCAAACCGACACAGGUAGUCGAGGAGAGUAUCCUCAGGUGUGCGAGAGAACUCUCGUUAAGGAACUCGGCAAAAUGACCCCGUAACUUCGGAAGAAGGGGUGCUGAUCUAACGAUCAGCCGCAGUGAAUAGGCCCAGGCGACUGUUUAUCAAAAACACAGGUCUCUGCUAAAUCGUAAGAUGACGUAUAGGGGCUGACGCCUGCCCGGUGCUGGAAGGUUAAGUGGAUGAGUUAGUACUUCGGUACGAAGCCCAGAAAUGAAGCCCCAGUAAACGGCGGCCGUAACUAUAACGGUCCUAAGGUAGCGAAAUUCCUUGUCGGGUAAGUUCCGACCCGCACGAAAGGCGUAACGAUCUGGGCACUGUCUCGACGAGAGACUCGGUGAAAUUAUAAUACCCGUGAAGAUGCGGGUUACCCGCGACAGGACGGAAAGACCCCAUGGAGCUUUACUGUAGCUUGAUAUUGAGUGUUUGUACCGCUUGUACAGGAUAGGUAGGAGCCGUUGAAGCCGGAACGCUAGUUUCGGUGGAGGCAUUGG